UUGGAGAGUUGAUCCUGGCUCAGGAUGAACGCUGGCGGCGUGCCUAAUACAUGCAAGUCGAGCGAACAGAUAAGGAGCUUGCUCCUUUGACGUUAGCGGCGGACGGGUGAGUAACACGUGGAUAACCUACCUAUAAGACUGGGAUAACUUCGGGAAACCGGAGCUAAUACCGGAUAACAUAUUGAACCGCAUGGUUCAAUAGUGAAAGGCGGCUUUGCUGUCACUUAUAGAUGGAUCCGCGCCGUAUUAGCUAGUUGGUAAGGUAACGGCUUACCAAGGCAACGAUACGUAGCCGACCUGAGAGGGUGAUCGGCCACACUGGAACUGAGACACGGUCCAGACUCCUACGGGAGGCAGCAGUAGGGAAUCUUCCGCAAUGGGCGAAAGCCUGACGGAGCAACGCCGCGUGAGUGAUGAAGGUCUUCGGAUCGUAAAACUCUGUUAUCAGGGAAGAACAAAUGUGUAAGUAACUGUGCACAUCUUGACGGUACCUGAUCAGAAAGCCACGGCUAACUACGUGCCAGCAGCCGCGGUAAU
This 537-nucleotide ribosomal RNA is filed under the name Staphylococcus sp. RNAcentral describes it as "bacterial SSU rRNA". It matches the Rfam family "Bacterial small subunit ribosomal RNA", at positions 1 to 524 of the family's 1533-position model. Lineage: Bacteria; Bacillati; Bacillota; Bacilli; Caryophanales; Staphylococcaceae. The record is from RNAcentral.